AAAUGCGAUAAGUAAUGUGAAUUGCAGAAUUCAGUGAAUCAUCGAAUCUUUGAACGCACCUUGCGCUCCUUGGUAUUCCUUGGAGCAUGCCUGUUUGAGUAUCAUGAAAUCUUCAAAGUAAAUCUUUUGUUAACUCAAUUGGUUUCUACUUUGGUAUUGGAGGUCUUUGCAGCUUCACACCUGCUCCUCUUUGUUCAUUAGCUGGAUCUCAGUGUUAUGCUUGGUUCCACUCGGCGUGAUAAGUUAUCUAUCGCUGAGGACACUGUAAAAGGUGGCAAAGGUAAAUGCAGAUGAACCGCUGCUAAUAGUCCAUUGACUUGGACAAUACUUUUAUGAUCUGAUCUCAAAUCAGGUAGGACUACCCGCUGAACUUAAGC
Molecule: unclassified non-coding RNA, 377 nt
Filed under: plant metagenome
Description: partial contains 5.8S ribosomal RNA, internal transcribed spacer 2, and large subunit ribosomal RNA
Rfam family: 5.8S ribosomal RNA (bases 1-104)
Source: RNAcentral